RNAcentral lists this ribosomal RNA (717 nucleotides) under uncultured bacterium. Its description in RNAcentral is "bacterial SSU rRNA". It matches the Rfam family "Bacterial small subunit ribosomal RNA", at positions 72 to 804 of the family's 1533-position model. The record is from RNAcentral.
AGGCCCUUCGGGGUACUCGAGCGGCGAACGGGUGAGUAACACGUGAGCAACCUGCCCCUAGCUCUGGGAUAGCUCCGGGAAACCGGGAUUAAUACCAGAUACGACCACUUUAGACAUCUGCUGUGGUGGAAAGGAUUCCGGCUAGGGAUGGGCUCGCGGCCUAUCAGCUUGUUGGUGGGGUAACGGCCUACCAAGGCGACGACGGGUAGCCGGCCUGAGAGGGCGACCGGCCACACUGGGGAUGAGACACGGCCCAGGAUCCUACGGGAGGCAGCAGUGGGGAAACAUUGCGCAAUGGGCGAAAGCCUGACGCAGCGACGCCGCGUGGGGGAUGAAGGCCUUCGGGUUGUAAACCCCUUUCAGCAGGGACGAAGCGAAAGUGACGGUACCUGCAGAAGAAGCGCCGGCUAACUACGUGCCAGCAGCCGCGGUAACACGUAGGGCGCAAGCGUUGUCCGGAAACUAUUGGGCGUAAAGAGCUCGUAGGCGGUCUGUUGCGUCCGCUGUGAAAACUCGGGGCUUAACCCCGAGCCUGCAGUGGAUACGGGCAGGAUAGAGGUAGGUAGGGGAGAAUGGAAACUCCCGGUGUAGCGGUGAAAUGCGCAGAUAUCGGGAGGAACACCGGUGGCGAAGGCGGUUCUCUGGGCCUUACCUGACGCUGAGGAGCGAAAGCGUGGGGAGCGAACAGGAUUAGAUACCCUGGUAGUCCACGCCGUA